Molecule: ribosomal RNA, 409 nt
Filed under: Actinomycetes bacterium
Lineage: Bacteria; Bacillati; Actinomycetota; Actinomycetes
Description: Actinobacteria bacterium partial 16S ribosomal RNA
Rfam family: Bacterial small subunit ribosomal RNA
Source: RNAcentral
UGGGGAAUAUUGCACAAUGGGCGGAAGCCUGAUGCAGCGACGUCGCGUGGGGGAUGAAGGCCUUCGGGUUGUAAACUCCUUUCGACAGGGACGAAGCUUUUGUGACGGUACCUGUAUAAGAAGCACCGGCUAACUACGUGCCAGCAGCCGCGGUAAUACGUAGGGUGCGAGCGUUGUCCGGAAUUACUGGGCGUAAAGAGCUCGUAGGUGGUUUGUCGCGUCGUCUGUGAAAUUCCGGGGCUUAACUCCGGGCGUGCAGGCGAUACGGGCUGACUUGAGUGCUGUAGGGGAGACUGGAAUUCCUGGUGUAGCGGUGAAAUGCACAGAUAUCAGGAGGAACACAGAUGACGAAAGAAGGUCUCUGGGCAGUAACUGACGCUGAGGAGCGAAAGCAUGGGUAGCGAACAGG